This is a long non-coding RNA of Aricia agestis (brown argus), 100 nucleotides long. RefSeq lists it as uncharacterized. The record is from RefSeq and is a predicted model, not a curated record. Lineage: Eukaryota; Metazoa; Arthropoda; Insecta; Lepidoptera; Lycaenidae. The transcript is spliced from 3 exons.
GCAAAAAAUCGUACAUACAUUACGCACCUAGGGCAGGAAAAUAAGAAAUAUCUCAGAUCACAUGUAACUGUUGGCCGAGGCGAAGCCUAGGUCAUCAAAC